Molecule: unclassified non-coding RNA, 661 nt
Filed under: Sabatieria sp. 2 FH-2016
Lineage: Eukaryota; Metazoa; Nematoda; Chromadorea; Araeolaimida; Comesomatidae
Description: sequence contains ITS1, 5.8S rRNA gene, ITS2
Rfam family: 5.8S ribosomal RNA (bases 243-396)
Source: RNAcentral
AGGGCCGGCCACUCACGGCCACGACUGGAGUUCGCUCAUGAGCGUUUCCACGUGAGAGGCCUACGAACCAACGGGUAAACGUCGGUACCUAUCCUGGACCAUCCUGCGUGUAGCCAACCCGUCUGCCGCACAGCGUAUGUCCAGGCCCGCCCCCUUGUGGGGUAGGUUUAAUGAGCUCUGGCACGGGAGCCACCGAUACACUAUACUCUGUUAACCAGAGGCCGUGAGGCCAUCGAAAGUACUAUUCUAAGCGGUGGAUCACUCGGCUCGCAGGUCGAUGAAGAACGCAGCCAACUGCGGUAAUUAAUGCGAAUUGCAGACACAUUGAGCAUCGACCUUUCGAACGCACAUUGCGGCACUAGGUUCACUCCUGGUGCCACGUCUGUCUGAGGGUCGCGAUUCUGACAGCACUUCGUACCCGAAUGAUAUGGGUCGUGCAAGAGGAGACAUGUUUAAGUGGAACGGCAGCAUCCGCCGAACUGCAAAGACAGCUCUUCGGAGGUUAGAAGGCCAACAGAUCCUUGGUUGGUAAAACAUGACCCAAUGGGGUUCGGCAGUGUAACGAUUAUUCGCUGCCGUUUCCCCGCAGGGUUCAUUGGUCCGACCUCAGAUCAGACGUGACAACCCGCUGAACUUAAGCAUAUCACUAGGCGGAGGAAAA